RNAcentral lists this ribosomal RNA (890 nucleotides) under Thiotrichales bacterium SCGC AAA240-P15. RNAcentral's name for it is "SSU rRNA". It matches the Rfam family "Bacterial small subunit ribosomal RNA", at positions 32 to 917 of the family's 1533-position model. The record is from RNAcentral. Lineage: Bacteria; Pseudomonadati; Pseudomonadota; Gammaproteobacteria; Thiotrichales.
GACGCUGGCGGUAUGCUUAACACAUGCAAGUCGAACGGAAACGAAACUAGCUUGCUAGUAGGCGUCGAGUGGCGGACGGGUGAGUAACGCGUAGGAAUCUGCCUGAUAGUGGGGGAUAGCCCGAAGAAAUUCGGAUUAAUACCGCAUAAUCUAUUCGUAGUAAAGUGGGGGACUUUCGAGCCUCACGCUAUCAGAUGAGCCUGCGUAAGAUUAGCUUGUUGGUAGGGUAAAAGCCUACCAAGGCAACGAUCUUUAGCUGGUCUGAGAGGAUGAUCAGCCACAUCGGGACUGAGACACGGCCCGAACUCCUACGGGAGGCAGCAGUGGGGAAUAUUGGACAAUGGGGGCAACCCUGAUCCAGCAAUACCGCGUGUGUGAAGAAGGCCUGAGGGUUGUAAAGCACUUUCAAUUGUGAAGAAAAGUCAACGGUUAAUAACCGUUGACCUUGACGUUAACUUUAGAAGAAGCACCGGCUAACUCCGUGCCAGCAGCCGCGGUAAUACGGAGGGUGCAAGCGUUAAUCGGAAUUACUGGGCGUAAAGCGUGCGUAGGCGGUUUAUUAAGUCAGAUGUGAAAGCCCCGGGCUUAACCUGGGAACUGCAUUUGAAACUGGUCAACUAGAGUAUGGUAGAGGAAAGUGGAAUUUCUGGUGUAGCGGUGAAAUGCGUAGAUAUCAGAAGGAACAUCAAUGGCGAAGGCAGCUUUCUGGACCAAUACUGACGCUGAGGUACGAAAGCGUGGGUAGCAAACAGGAUUAGAUACCCUGGUAGUCCACGCCGUAAACGAUGAUAACUAGCCGUUGGGGGGAUUUACCCCUUAGUGGCGAAGCUAACGCGUUAAGUUAUCCGCCUGGGGAGUACGGCCGCAAGGCUAAACUCAAAAUGGAUGCG